Molecule: ribosomal RNA, 642 nt
Filed under: Salmonella enterica
Lineage: Bacteria; Pseudomonadati; Pseudomonadota; Gammaproteobacteria; Enterobacterales; Enterobacteriaceae
Description: partial 23S ribosomal RNA
Rfam family: Bacterial large subunit ribosomal RNA
Source: RNAcentral
GAAUGCUGACAUAAGUAACGAUAAAGCGGGUGAAAAGCCCGCUCGCCGGAAGACCAAGGGUUCCUGUCCAACGUUAAUCGGGGCAGGGUGAGUCGACCCCUAAGGCGAGGCCGAAAGGCGUAGUCGAUGGGAAACGGGUUAAUAUUCCCGUACUUGGUGUUACUGCGAAGGGGGGACGGAGAAGGCUAUGUUGGCCGGGCGACGGUUGUCCCGGUUUAAGCGUGUAGGUGUGUGUUCCAGGUAAAUCCGGUUCACUUUAACACUGAGGCGUGACGACGAGGCACUACGGUGCUGAAGCAACAAAUGCCCUGCUUCCAGGAAAAGCCUCUAAGCAUCAGGUAACAUCAAAUCGUACCCCAAACCGACACAGGUGGUCAGGUAGAGAAUACCAAGGCGCUUGAGAGAACUCGGGUGAAGGAACUAGGCAAAAUGGUGCCGUAACUUCGGGAGAAGGCACGCUGACACGUAGGUGAAGUGAUUUACUCAUGGAGCUGAAGUCAGUCGAAGAUACCAGCUGGCUGCAACUGUUUAUUAAAAACACAGCACUGUGCAAACACGAAAGUGGACGUAUACGGUGUGACGCCUGCCCGGUGCCGGAAGGUUAAUUGAUGGGGUCAGCGCAAGCGAAGCUCCUGAUCGAAG